Molecule: ribosomal RNA, 301 nt
Filed under: uncultured bacterium
Lineage: Bacteria
Description: partial 16S ribosomal RNA
Rfam family: Bacterial small subunit ribosomal RNA
Source: RNAcentral
CAGUAGCCGCGGUAAUACGGAGGGUGCAAGCGUUAAUCGGAAUUACUGGGCGUAAAGCGCACGCAGGCGGUUUGUUAAGUCAGAUGUGAAAUCCCCGAGCUUAACUUGGGAACUGCAUUUGAAACUGGCAAGCUAGAGUCUUGUAGAGGGGGGUAGAAUUCCAGGUGUAGCGGUGGAAUGCGUAGAGAUCUGGAGGAAUACCGGUGGCGAAGGCGGCCCCCUGGACAAAGACUGACGCUCAGGCGCGAAAGCGUGGGGAGCAAACAGGAUUAGAGACCCCGGUAGUCCCUGUCUCUUAUAC